This is a non-coding RNA of Ictidomys tridecemlineatus (thirteen-lined ground squirrel), 628 nucleotides long. Lineage: Eukaryota; Metazoa; Chordata; Mammalia; Rodentia; Sciuridae. The record is from RefSeq and is a predicted model, not a curated record.
CACACACACUUGAGAAUGAAUAAUGAAAACCAAAGUACUAAAAUAGAAUUAUACUGGCAAUGUUAGUAAAUUAAAAUCUAACCUACUCUAAAAAUAUCUAUGGGUUUUGAAAGAAGAUGUUGAUAUUUAAAUUCAUAGCUAUUGGGACUACUAAUCAUUUAAAGGAGGACCAUCUAUUUGGGAAAUACAUCCCUUAGGACCAGAAACAACCUCAGGAUCAUCCCUUAGCCACCCUCUCCUGUUGCCUGUUCUUUGAUUCAAGACCCAAGGGCAGUUUCAUUCAUCUCCAUCCUCAACUGGAGUAGCAGCUGCCUUGUUCACCAUGUCACCUUUCCAGAGAGGACUGGGAUCUGGGAAGCAGACUCAUGAUGCACAGAUAUACAGGAUGCCUAUGGCUUUGAUGGGUGUGUGUCUUAUUUGAAGGUGGGAAUUACUACUCAACCAUGUCUGCUGGUGCAUUCUCUUUCCAAUAUGUUAAUCUACUUGUCACACUGACCUAAGAUCACAAAGUCAAGUGAAUACAGAAUCAGAGAACUCCCCAAGUUUCCUUCCAAGCUUUCUUCCUUUCUCUCCUGCUAGUUCGAUUUUAUCCAGUUAUCUCAAAUUGUUAAAAAAAAAAAAAGAAAGA